This 946-nucleotide long non-coding RNA is filed under the name Sus scrofa (pig). Its description in RNAcentral is "lncRNA (ENSSSCG00035013489.1)". Lineage: Eukaryota; Metazoa; Chordata; Mammalia; Artiodactyla; Suidae. The record is from RNAcentral.
UGCCUCCUCGUUAUUCAAACCACUGCUCUCUCUCCCCACCCUAUUUGUGCAAAUCUCGCCAAUCCUUUAAGUCUCAAAUCAAAUCCCACUUCCUCAUUCAAGAUUUUCCUGAGUCUUCUAGCUUUGAAAUUCACCUUUCCUCCUCUGAUGCUGUUGUGUUCCGUUGCAAUUCAUAAUUUACUUCCUCUUCAUGUGGUCAUGUUUUAUCUUCCCAACUAGAAAGGCAACUUCUUAAAGGUGAAAGCCAACUCAGCAACGUCUCUUUAAGGAGAUAUUAUGAAGAGGCAUCAGCUUUUGUUCUGAUACCAUCAACAAUGAUCCAGAUGAAAAGGAAUAUGGUUCAACCUCCAUAUUUCUCAUAAAGAGAAAACUGAGGUCCAGAGAAGUGAAAUGGCUUAUCCAGAGGCAGUCAGGAGCCUUGUUUGUUGCAUGUGUGCCAGAACCUCGGAGCAGGAAACAUGCCAUCAGAAUGAAUGUGUCUGCCUGGCAAAGGCAGGGCAGAGCGGAAUCGAUUAGAGAGAGGAAGGCGGGCAGUUGAAUGGGAUGCUGCCUAAAGAGAACCCAGCAGAUCCGUUCACUCUGCGAGCCAGUCUUGACCUUCUGCGCCUUAGGACCAUCUCCCUAGGACCACCAGCAUGAAGUUCAUGUGUCAAGAAGAAGUCGUCUGUGUUCUCCAAAAGCAACUUCAUGACCAGUUUUGAAAUAAUUCAAAAACAUUUGCUCUCUUCAGAUCAGCUUCCUUCAAGCCAAUGUUUAUUUAAUUCAUAUGUCUGAAGUUUUCUGGCUCUUGAAAGUCAACAUUCUUGGUCUCCUCCCCUGUCCCAGCAUGUUUAAGUUGAGAUGGUGUUCUUUCUUGUUUCCUUAAGAGCUCUUGCCAAGUCACUGGGCAUGUCUCUCUUGUUCAUCUUCUGAAAAUCUUCAAUAAAUACAUGUCCUGAUUCUCCCA